This 1254-nucleotide ribosomal RNA is filed under the name Candidatus Rosenkranzia clausaccus. RNAcentral's name for it is "bacterial SSU rRNA". It matches the Rfam family "Bacterial small subunit ribosomal RNA", at positions 86 to 1331 of the family's 1533-position model. The record is from RNAcentral. Lineage: Bacteria; Pseudomonadati; Pseudomonadota; Gammaproteobacteria; Enterobacterales; Enterobacteriaceae.
UGCUGGCGAGUGGCGGACGGGUGAGUAAAAUCUGGGGAUCUGCCUGAUGAAGAGGGAUAACUACUGGAAACGGUAGCUAAUACCGCAUAAUGUCGUAAGACCAAAGUGGGGGACUUCUUUCGGGAAGCCUCACAUCAUCAGAUGAACCCAGAUGAGAUUAGCUUGUAGGUAGGGUAAUGGCCUACCUAGGCUACGAUCUCUAGCUGGUCUGAGAGGAUGACCAGCCACACUGGAACUGAGAUACGGUCCAGACUCCUACGGGAGGCAGCAGUGGGGAAUAUUGCACAAUGGGCGCAAGCCUGAUGCAGCUAUGCCGCGUGUAUGAAGAAGGCCUUCGGGUUGUAAAGUACUUUCAGCGAGGAAGAAAAGAUCAUUCCUAAUAAUAAUGAUAAUUGACGUUACUCGCAGAAGAAGCACCGGCUAACUCCGUGCCAGCAGCCGCGGUAAUACGGAGGGUGCGAGCGUUAAUCGGAAUUACUGGGCGUAAAGCGCACGUAGGUGGUUUGUUAAGUCAGAUGUGAAAUCCCUGGGCUUAACCUAGGAACUGCAUUUGAAACUGGCAAGCUAGAGUCUCGUAGAGGGAGGUAGAAUUCCAGGUGUAGCGGUGAAAUGCGUAGAGAUCUGGAGGAAUACCAGUGGCGAAGGCGGCCUCCUGGACGAAGACUGACACUCAGGUGCGAAAGCAUGGGUAGCAAACAGGAUUAGAUACCCUGGUAGUCCAUGCCGUAAACGAUGUCGACUUGGAGGUUGUAAGCUUGACUUGUGACUUCCGAAGCUAACGCGUUAAGUCGACCGCCUGGGGAGUACGGCCGCAAGGUUAAAACUCAAAUGAAUUGACGGGGGCCCGCACAAGCGGUGGAGCAUGUGGUUUAAUUCGAUGCAACGCGAAGAACCUUACCUGGUCUUGACAUCCAUAGAAUUUUUUAGAGAUAAAAAAGUGCCUUCGGGAACUAUGAGACAGGUGCUGCAUGGCUGUCGUCAGCUCGUGUUGUGAAAUGUUGGGUUAAGUCCCGCAACGAGCGCAACCCCUAUCCUUUGUUGCCAACGGUUAGGCCGGGAACUCAAAGGAGACUGCCGGUGAUAAACCGGAGGAAGGUGGGGAUGACGUCAAGUCAUCAUGGCCCUUAUGACCAGGGCUACACACGUGCUACAAUGGUAUAUACAAAAAGAAGCAAUCUUGCAAAAGUUAGCAAAUCUUAUAAAAUAUAUCGUAGUCCGGAUUGGAGUCUGCAACUCGACUCCAUGAAGUCGGAA